AUGAAUCGGGAUCGAGGAACGGCCUACCGUUCCCUGUUUCCGGCUACUAUGGCUCCAACGGUGCUCACGAGGUCCAAGGAAUCGCUGCAGCCCAUGUCCGAGUUCCUCAUCUCUGAGGUGGGGUUGGAACCGGCAUACAUUGCUCAUCGGCCGGCACUGCUCACUUUCAGCCUGAAGGGCCGGCUAAGAGCCCGACACUAUGUUUUAAAGUUUCUCAAGGAAAAUGGAUUGAUAGAUCAUGGCCAGGACUUCUUUAAUACAGUCAUGGUUAGCGAGAAGGUAUUUAUGGAAAGGUUCAUAUGCCCUCACAAGGAAGCUGCACCUCAUCUUGCUGAAGACUAUGCAACCGCUUGCAGAGGGGAAGUGCCUGCCAGAUUCAGUUUUACAUGA
Molecule: ribosomal RNA, 390 nt
Filed under: Triticum aestivum (bread wheat)
Lineage: Eukaryota; Viridiplantae; Streptophyta; Magnoliopsida; Poales; Poaceae
Description: partial small subunit ribosomal RNA
Source: RNAcentral